This 465-nucleotide ribosomal RNA is filed under the name uncultured bacterium. RNAcentral describes it as "partial 16S ribosomal RNA". It matches the Rfam family "Bacterial small subunit ribosomal RNA", at positions 28 to 507 of the family's 1533-position model. The record is from RNAcentral.
GACGAACGCUGGCGGCGUGCUUAACACAUGCAAGUCGAACGGAAAGGCCCCUUUGGGGGUACUCGAGUGGCGAACGGGUGAGUAACACGUGAGUAACCUGCCCUUGACUUCGGGAUAACUUCAGGAAACUGGGGCUAAUACCGGAUAGGAAUCCUUGCUGCAUGGUGGGGGUUGGAAAGCUUCGGCGGUUUUGGAUGGACUCGCGGCUUAUCAGCUUGUUGGUGGGGUAGUGGCUUACCAAGGCUUUGACGGGUAGCCGGCCUGAGAGGGCGACCGGCCACAUUGGGACUGAGAUACGGCCCAGACUCCGACGGGAGGCAGAAGUGGGGAAUAUUGAACAAUGGGCGGAAGCCUGAUGCAGCAACGCCGCGUGCGGGAUGACGGCCUUCGGGUUGUAAACCGCUUUCAGCAGGGGCGAAGCUUGUGGUGACGGUACCUGCAGAAGAAGCACCGGCUAACUACGUG